Molecule: ribosomal RNA, 788 nt
Filed under: uncultured bacterium
Lineage: Bacteria
Description: bacterial SSU rRNA
Rfam family: Bacterial small subunit ribosomal RNA
Source: RNAcentral
ACACAUGCAAGUCGAGGGGCAGCGGGAUUGAAGCUUGCUUCAAUUGCCGGCGACCGGCGCACGGGUGAGUAACGCGUAUCCAACCUUCCGUACACUCAGGGAUAGCCUUUCGAAAGAAAGAUUAAUACCUGAUGGUAUGAUGAGAUUGCAUGAUAGCAUCAUUAAAGAUUCAUCGGUGUACGAUGGGGAUGCGUUCCAUUAGGUAGUAGGCGGGGUAACGGCCCACCUAGCCUACGAUGGAUAGGGGUUCUGAGAGGAAGGUCCCCCACAUUGGAACUGAGACACGGUCCAAACUCCUACGGGAGGCAGCAGUGAGGAAUAUUGGUCAAUGGACGAGAGUCUGAACCAGCCAAGUAGCGUGAAGGAUGAAGGUCCUACGGAUUGUAAACUUCUUUUAUAAGGGAAUAAAACCUCCCACGUGUGGGAGCUUGUAUGUACCUUAUGAAUAAGCAUCGGCUAACUCCGUGCCAGCAGCCGCGGUAAUACGGAGGAUGCGAGCGUUAUCCGGAUUUAUUGGGUUUAAAGGGAGCGCAGACGGGUCGUUAAGUCAGCUGUGAAAGUUUGGGGCUCAACCUUAAAAUUGCAGUUGAUACUGGCGUCCUUGAGUGCGGUUGAGGUGUGCGGAAUUCGUGGUGUAGCGGUGAAAUGCUUAGAUAUCACGAAGAACUCCGAUUGCGAAGGCAGCACACUAAGCCGUAACUGACGUUCAUGCUCGAAAGUGUGGGUAUCAAACAGGAUUAGAUACCCUGGUAGUCCACACUGUAAACGAUGAAUGCUAGGUGUAGGGG